Molecule: ribosomal RNA, 328 nt
Filed under: uncultured eukaryote
Lineage: Eukaryota
Description: partial 18S ribosomal RNA
Rfam family: Eukaryotic small subunit ribosomal RNA
Source: RNAcentral
CCCUUAGAUGUUCUGGGCCGCACGCGCGCUACACUGAUGCAUUCAACGAGUCUAAAACCUGGUCUGAUAGGGCUGGGUAAUCUUUUGAAUGUGCAUCGUGAUUGGGAUAGAUGAUUGCAAUUCUUCAUCUUCAACGAGGAAUGCCUAGUAAGCGCGAGUCAUCAGCUCGCGUUGAUUACGUCCCUGCCCUUUGUACACACCGCCCGUCGCUCCUACCGAUUGAAUGGUCCGGUGAAAUCUUCGGAUUGCUGACCAAGAUCCAGCAAUGGAGCUUGGUUGCGAGAAGUUGAUUAAACCUUAUUAUUUAGAGGAAGGAGAAGUCGUAACA